This 73-nucleotide transfer RNA is filed under the name Venturia inaequalis. It matches the Rfam family "tRNA". From Rfam's summary of the family: Transfer RNA (tRNA) molecules are approximately 80 nucleotides in length. Their secondary structure includes four short double-helical elements and three loops (D, anti-codon, and T loops). The record is from Rfam by way of RNAcentral. Lineage: Eukaryota; Fungi; Ascomycota; Dothideomycetes; Venturiales; Venturiaceae.
AGGGAAUUAGCUCAACUGGUAGAGCAACCGUCUUACACACGGUAGGUUAAGUGUUCGAACCACUUAUUCCUUA